RNAcentral lists this ribosomal RNA (391 nucleotides) under Loxosceles rufescens. RNAcentral describes it as "partial 16S ribosomal RNA". It matches the Rfam family "Archaeal large subunit ribosomal RNA", at positions 2007 to 2673 of the family's 2987-position model. The record is from RNAcentral. Lineage: Eukaryota; Metazoa; Arthropoda; Arachnida; Araneae; Sicariidae.
GCCGCAGUUUCCUGUGCUAAGGUAGCGCAAUAACUUGCCUUCUAAUUAAAGGAUCGUAUGAAAGGACACAUGACUUUCUUAUUUUCUCAUAUAUUUUAAAAUAAAUUUAACCUACAAGUAAAAAGACUUGUAUUAACAAGAAAGACGACAAGACCCUGUAGAACUUCACUAUUGUUAAACUGGGGUGGUCAACAACAAAAGCUUAUCUUCCCAAACCACACAAAGACCUGAAACUUUCAACAAAAGAACAAGUUACCUUAGGGAUAACAGAGUAAUUCCUCUCUAGACCUGUUCCAAAGAGGAGCUUUCUACCUCGAUGUUGAAUUUAAUAUUACUUCAUAAAUAAACAUUAUACAAGUAGGUCUGUUCGACCUUUAAAAUAUUACAUGAU